This 1202-nucleotide long non-coding RNA is filed under the name Phasianus colchicus (ring-necked pheasant). RNAcentral's name for it is "lncRNA (ENSPCLG00000010272.1)". Lineage: Eukaryota; Metazoa; Chordata; Aves; Galliformes; Phasianidae. The record is from RNAcentral.
CCCGGCUCCCUUUUAUGAAUGGGGGGCUGGAGAGAGACUGGCUGCGAGCCGCGGAGGACGGAUACGGCUUUCUCUCUCGCUGUUUGCUGUCCCCAUCCCCCGCUUAUUUAUUUAUUUAUUCAUUUUGUGAAUGGAGGGCAGGCGGUGACAGCUGCGCACGUACCGCGCCCUCUGCCCGGCCUGAAGCCAGCAGCCCUAAUGCUGUGAACACCCCCAACUGCUGCAGCUCUGCCUGGUGGAUGGUGCAGUAAUGAGGAACCUUAACAACAGGAAGAGAAGUAAAUGUUUAAUGAUUUGCCUUUAACAGAUCUCAGAAAGCUUUUCCUUCAUGCUUUGCUGCUUAUGAGAUCUGUGGAUGCCUUUGUGUUCUCUUUCUCCCCAUUCCUGGCUUUCCUCUGGGUUAUUUUCCCUGCGAGGCAGUGAUGCUAUUGAUGCCGGAUGCUCAGGACAGGCAGUCUGGGCAGUGAGCUGUCAGACGAUGCAUUUCCUGUGUGCAGCAAUCAGUCCUUCUCACUCACAAACAAAGGCAGAUAAGCAUUAGAAAUUAAUAUUAGCUCACUUCUGCAUGCUCUGUUUUCCUGACCUUGAGGAGCAGAGGCCGGGCAGCACCGCAUCGAUCCAUGGUGGAUGGGGGAAGGAAUGGGGCUCAGGGGCUCCUCUGUGCUCUGAGAAAUGCGAGUGGAGCGCGCUGCGUGGAGCUGUGGUGCAAGCUGGGGCCGUUUGGAGGUAGGAAGUGGUCAGCUUUGUACCUCCCUGCCAAAGAAAACUGCUGACUCUUUGAAUGCAGUAUUGACAUUAAGGUUUGGAGGAGGAUGUGCAGAAAGGAGAAGCCUUGGGGCUGUUGGUGUGAUGAGGUGAGCAGGCAGAUUCUGAAGCAUGGUUUGCUGAGUGCUGCAUCCCCCCACAGCCCUGCAUGCUGCUGUCUUCUGCAGCCAUUAUGAGCAGAUGUGCUUCCAGGGCAGCCUUGGGUGCCCUAUCAGUGGCUGUCCUUGAGAAAUUUGUUUCUGUUCAUAGAACCAUAAAAUCAUUCAGGUUGGAAAAAAACCUCUCAGAUCCCCAGGACCAACUCCAGCCUACCUCACUGUGCUCACUGACUGCAUUCCCAUGUUCUGCAGUACCUCCAGGUUGGUGACUCCCCACCCCCUGGGUAGCUGUGCCAGUGCUCACCACUCUUUUGGGGAAUAAAUAUUUCUUAAUAUCCA